UCUAAUAUGACAGAUUUAUGUGAUAAACUUAAAAUUUAUUUAUAAAGGUUUAUCCUUUUUUUAGAA
This 66-nucleotide transfer RNA is filed under the name Amorophaga japonica. RNAcentral's name for it is "tRNA-Leu". RNAcentral also lists the same sequence under 1 other name. Lineage: Eukaryota; Metazoa; Arthropoda; Insecta; Lepidoptera; Tineidae. The record is from RNAcentral.